AAUUUCAAAAGAAGCGGAAGAAGAGAAUGAAGUGCACGCAGAAAAGCCGAGGGAGUUCAAUAAAAUGGAAGACGGUCGUAAACUCGCAGCGAGGCCUGCCCUCGGUCUCCAUGUGAGGGGAGGUGCCGAGGGGAACUAUACCUUCGCGACCAACACUGGCAACUGCCAUCGAAUUUCAAAGAGACUAAAGGCUCAGUAAAAUGGCUUUAUACGGAGAAGAAACAACUACAUGCCGUCAGUGAUUGGUAAUUGAACGCGAUAGGGUAUCUGGUUCACCUGGAUUUGUGUGGGCCCAAACGGCCCCAAGAGGCCCGGUACAC
This is a long non-coding RNA of Hyalella azteca, 320 nucleotides long. RefSeq lists it as uncharacterized. The record is from RefSeq and is a predicted model, not a curated record. Lineage: Eukaryota; Metazoa; Arthropoda; Malacostraca; Amphipoda; Hyalellidae. The transcript is spliced from 3 exons.